Molecule: long non-coding RNA, 1318 nt
Filed under: Durio zibethinus
Lineage: Eukaryota; Viridiplantae; Streptophyta; Magnoliopsida; Malvales; Malvaceae
Description: long non-coding RNA (DZIB_LNC000907)
Source: RNAcentral
CAGAUUCAUAAGAGCAAGCUCCAAUACCUUGCUCCACUCCCCUGCACCAUUACCCUGAACUUUGUUAAGUUGUUGGACAUUUGACUUUUAUGACACCAAUUCACAUAUGAAAAACAAGAACAUCAUUCAUCAAAGGGAGGAGAAAAAACCAGCAAAAAAAAUUUCCCAAAACCUCCAUUCGGCUAUCCCAGAAAGUAGAAACACUCACCAAAAAAAAUCCUAGCAUUUACCAUCACUAGUCCCCUCUAACACUACCCAAACCCAUCACCUAAUUAGGCAACCUCCACCAUUUUCACCAUUCACCAUAAGCCCACUAAAGCACCCCAAUCGAAACCACCUCAACAGCAAAAAUUUUUCAUAAAAGCUUCCACAGCCCCUUCGUAGCUCUCGUUGACAACCUGCAUUUAUCUUACUGUAUUAGCACUCUAUAACCACCACCAUCAGUUAAGCACCACCUGCCUUUGCCUACCCGACCAGAACACCCUAAAACCAUAAUAUCCAUUAGCAUCCAAAAAUCACCAUCACAUAAUUAAAUCCAUAGCUCAAUCAAGACACCCAUGUGAACCACCCACUACUACCCAAGCCACCAACAUGAAGUAGCGCUCAAGCUUACAGCAUCUCCACCAAACCCGAGUCCAUCCUCUAUUGGUAUCUUCAAACCAUAACUAUCACCAGCCUAAAAUAUUUAUGAGAACCAACCCCCUCAACCUAACUCUUGUUGAGCAAUCGAGAAUCAAAAACAGCAAAAAAAUCACACAUCCCUUGGAUUUUGGGAGAAGUAGUGCCAAAGAACAACCAAAUAGCAAACGAAAAUGAAAGAAAAGAAAAAAACAAACAAACAACAAUAGUUUCGAUUUUCUUUAAAGAAUAUUUUUGGGUUUGAAUAGUGGGUGAAUUUUAUUUUAGUUUGGUGUAAACGAAAAAAGGAAAAGGUCAGCCACUUUCUGAGGCGAUGGCUCGCAACAUCGGCGAUAGGGACUCACGGUGGCUUGUGAUGGUGUAGGCUUUGGGUGAUCUGAAAGGGUGGAAAAGACAAAGGGGGAAGGGGAACAACAUAUAUAAAGAUCGAACAGUGAAAGGAGGAGAUUUUAUGGUUCGAAGUUUUGGUUUAAAUUUUCAAAUCUAGAUAGAUCUAGGCCAUUUUAGAGAUCAAGAGGUUGGCGAGAAGCAGUGGGUGAAAUUUGGGACUGAAAUAAUGUCGGCCAUUAGCGACAGUCGACGACGAGUGGUAGUCUGGUCGCCGCUAGUUACCGAAAAGUAGGUUAAAGGGGCUGUCUUUUCUUGUUUGAUGAAGUGAUGAAUUUUCUUUAGAGAAGAG